Molecule: ribosomal RNA, 252 nt
Filed under: uncultured bacterium
Lineage: Bacteria
Description: partial 16S ribosomal RNA
Rfam family: Bacterial small subunit ribosomal RNA
Source: RNAcentral
CGUGGAGAACCUGCCGUAUACUGGGGGAUAACACUUAGAAAUAGGUGCUAAUACCGCAUAAGCGCACAGCUUCGCAUGAAGCAGUGUGGAAAACAAAAAGCUAAAGCUUUUGGUGGUAUACGAUGGAUCCGCGUCUGAUUAGCUAGUUGGCGGGGUAAAGGCCCACCAAGGCGACGAUCAGUAGCCGGCCUGAGAGGGUGGACGGCCACAUUGGGACUGAGACACGGCCCAAACUCCUACGGGAGGCAGCAG